CUACUGGAAACGGUAACUAAUACCGCAUAACGUCGCAAGACCAAAGUGAAGGGACCUUCGGGCCUCAUGCCAUCAGAUGUGCCCAGAUGGGAUUAGCUGGUAGGUGGGGUAACGGCUCACCUAGGCGACGAUCCCUAGCUGGUCUGAGAGGAUGACCAGCCACACUGGAACUGAGACACGGUCCAGACUCCUACGGGAGGCAGCAGUGGGGAAUAUUGCACAAUGGGCGCAAGCCUGAUGCAGCCAUGCCGCGUGUGUGAAGAAGGCCUUCGGGUUGUAAAGCACUUUCAGCGGGGAGGAAGG
Molecule: ribosomal RNA, 303 nt
Filed under: Klebsiella sp. PDGB6
Lineage: Bacteria; Pseudomonadati; Pseudomonadota; Gammaproteobacteria; Enterobacterales; Enterobacteriaceae
Description: bacterial SSU rRNA
Rfam family: Bacterial small subunit ribosomal RNA
Source: RNAcentral